UAUACUACAACCCAGAUAUGCCUACAAUUACAACACAUAAUAUGCUACUCUUUGUUGAUAUGCUUCACAGCUUCGGCCUUGGAUUCGCACUUCACCUAUGCAAAGAAUAAGAAUGAAAAUAUAAGAACAAGAAUGUGUACAGAACAUCAAACAGUAGCUAAUGAGGGAUCCAAUAACUUAUAAGCAAGAAUUGACAGGAAAUGCCAUGUAGAUAGAUAGUAUGACUAACACUAACUAGUAUGCGUUCAUGAAGUGAAAAUGUUCUCACUAGCUAAGAUUUUUUUGGGUAUAUAGUAUACUAAUAUGUGCAACUCUAACUAAAUUGAUCAUAGAAAUGAAAAGAACUAUAAGAACGAGUUCAUUCAGAAUCCAGACAUGUCAAAUUUUAAGCACCAGCAAAACAGAUCUAAUAAACCAGACCAUAAUCAGCAUGCAUCAGGAUUUAUGGUUCUAGCAAAACGGUAUGGAUACGGAGAUACACGCAUCAAGCAUACCAGCUACUACAAUAAGAGGUCCAGAUGCUCCAGGAACUGUAGGGAGUACGCACCCCGGCAGUCGUGCAGUAGCUAGGGAUUGAGGAGGAUGAGCUUGCUCCCAUUGUACCUGGAAGGUAGACAGGAAAACAAGUUAUGGCAGCAGAAGCAUCAUGCUGUAUCCAUUGUACCAGGGUCAUAUUUGGGUACACAAUUAGCUAAUAUGUCGAUAAAAAGUACUCAGUAGCUACAAUGUAUAGGUUACAUGUAUGAACGGAAGAUUCAGCAAAGGCAUGUUGAUAAAACAGUGAAAACAAUGGUAUCCGGUAUACCGCCAUGAAUAAGCACUUAUUAAUAUUUAUAUUCAUCAUCACAGCAACCUAUAACCACCUAUGCUCAUUGUUAAAAAUCUAUGCAUAGUUACAAAAAUAAACCUAUGUAUUUGAAACCAGAAUAUAUUUCUCACUCAAAUCUGAAUUCAUUGGUUUCUCCUCCAAACUAUUGAAAUCUCAGGCCUCUAAUUCGCUAGUUUCUUGGGCAACAAACAUCAUUGCAAAUUUGCAAUGCAACAUAGAUAAACCAAAUGUAACAUCAGAAACAACAAGGUAGAAUCAUCUAGACCACAUGUUUACCAGCAAAAAAAAAUCUAGAACACGUGUUCAACCGAAAUGCACUACUCCAUUCUCGUAAUAUUAACAUAGAGGAACUGCGUCUAUUAGAUGAUGUCCACAAGGACCAAUCAUGCACACUGCACAAAUGGCACACUCGCAUGCAGAGAAAUCGAGCUCAGGCAGUAGCAAAUAAACAUUGAUGGAUUACCCACCGUGCAUAGACCAAUCAGCAACAGCAGCAACAGUAGGUAGUAGAAGUAGAAGAGGGAGG
This 1355-nucleotide long non-coding RNA is filed under the name Triticum aestivum (bread wheat). RNAcentral describes it as "long non-coding RNA (TAES_LNC019557)". The record is from RNAcentral. Lineage: Eukaryota; Viridiplantae; Streptophyta; Magnoliopsida; Poales; Poaceae.